UUCUCUGUAGCUCAGUUGGUUAGAGCGCUGCACCGGAAUCGCAGAGCCACAGGUUCGAUACCUGCCAGAGGGU
This 73-nucleotide transfer RNA is filed under the name Paramuricea clavata. It matches the Rfam family "tRNA". Rfam says of the family: Transfer RNA (tRNA) molecules are approximately 80 nucleotides in length. The record is from Rfam by way of RNAcentral. Lineage: Eukaryota; Metazoa; Cnidaria; Anthozoa; Malacalcyonacea; Plexauridae.